UGGCUGGCUUUCAAGGAAUAUUUGGUCUAC
This 30-nucleotide non-coding RNA is filed under the name Rattus norvegicus (Norway rat). Lineage: Eukaryota; Metazoa; Chordata; Mammalia; Rodentia; Muridae. The record is from RNAcentral.